GGUUAAGCGACUAAGCGUACACGGUGGAUGCCCUGGCAGUCAGAGGCGAUGAAGGGCGUGCUAAUCUGCGAUAAGCGCCGGUAAGGUGAUAUGAACCGUUAUAACCGGCGAUACCCGAAUGGGGAAACCCAGUGUGACUCGUCACACUAUCAUUAACUGAAUCCAUAGGUUAAUGAGGCGAACCGGGGGAACUGAAACAUCUAAGUACCCCGAGGAAAAGAAAUCAACCGAGAUUCCCCCAGUAGCGGCGAGCGAACGGGGAGGAGCCCAGAGCCUGAAUCAGCAUGUGUGUUAGUGGAAGCGUCUGGAAAGGCGCGCGAUACAGGGUGACAGCCCCGUACACAAAAGCGCAUGUGCUGUGAGCUCGAUGAGUAGGGCGGGACACGUGGUAUCCUGUCUGAAUAUGGGGGGACCAUCCUCCAAGGCUAAAUACUCCUGACUGACCGAUAGUGAACCAGUACCGUGAGGGAAAGGCGAAAAGAACCCCGGCGAGGGGAGUGAAAAAGAACCUGAAACCGUGUACGUACAAGCAGUGGGAGCACCCUUUGGGGUGUGACUGCGUACCUUUUGUAUAAUGGGUCAGCGACUUAUAUUCUGUAGCAAGGUUAACCGUAUAGGGGAGCCGUAGGGAAACCGAGUCUUAACCGGGCGUUAAGUUGCAGGGUAUAGACCCGAAACCCGGUGAUCUAGCCAUGGGCAGGUUGAAGGUUGGGUAACACUAACUGGAGGACCGAACCGACUAAUGUUGAAAAAUUAGCGGAUGACCUGUGGCUGGGGGUGAAAGGCCAAUCAAACCGGGAGAUAGCUGGUUCUCCCCGAAAGCUAUUUAGGUAGCGCCUCGUGAAUUCAUCUCCGGGGGUAGAGCACUGUUUCGGCUAGGGGGCCAUCCCGGCUUACCAACCCGAUGCAAACUGCGAAUACCGGAGAAUGUUAUCACGGGAGACACACGGCGGGUGCUAACGUCCGUCGUGAAGAGGGAAACAACCCAGACCGCCAGCUAAGGUCCCAAAGUCAUGGUUAAGUGGGAAACGAUGUGGGAAGGCCCAGACAGCCAGGAUGUUGGCUUAGAAGCAGCCAUCAUUUAAAGAAAGCGUAAUAGCUCACUGGUCGAGUCGGCCUGCGCGGAAGAUGUAACGGGGCUAAACCAUGCACCGAAGCUGCGGCAGCGAACGUAUCACCCAAGACAACUUUACGGAGUUGACGAUUGACGGAGCGAAGCGACGUCAAAGCGUUCAUUAAAGUCGAGUUGGCUUAGGGAUACGUUCGUUGGGUAGGGGAGCGUUCUGUAAGCCUGUGAAGGUGUGUCGUGAGGCAUGCUGGAGGUAUCAGAAGUGCGAAUGCUGACAUAAGUAACGAUAAAGCGGGUGAAAAGCCCGCUCGCCGGAAGACCAAGGGUUCCUGUCCAACGUUAAUCGGGGCAGGGUGAGUCGACCCCUAAGGCGAGGCCGAAAGGCGUAGUCGAUGGGAAACGGGUUAAUAUUCCCGUACUUGGUGUUACUGCGAAGGGGGGACGGAGAAGGCUAUGUUGGCCGGGCGACGGUUGUCCCGGUUUAAGCGUGUAGGUGUGUGUUCCAGGUAAAUCCGGUUCACUUUAACACUGAGGCGUGACGACGAGGCACUACGGUGCUGAAGCAACAAAUGCCCUGCUUCCAGGAAAAGCCUCUAAGCAUCAGGUAACAUCAAAUCGUACCCCAAACCGACACAGGUGGUCAGGUAGAGAAUACCAAGGCGCUUGAGAGAACUCGGGUGAAGGAACUAGGCAAAAUGGUGCCGUAACUUCGGGAGAAGGCACGCUGACACGUAGGUGAAGUGAUUUACUCAUGGAGCUGAAGUCAGUCGAAGAUACCAGCUGGCUGCAACUGUUUAUUAAAAACACAGCACUGUGCAAACACGAAAGUGGACGUAUACGGUGUGACGCCUGCCCGGUGCCGGAAGGUUAAUUGAUGGGGUCAGCGCAAGCGAAGCUCCUGAUCGAAGCCCCGGUAAACGGCGGCCGUAACUAUAACGGUCCUAAGGUAGCGAAAUUCCUUGUCGGGUAAGUUCCGACCUGCACGAAUGGCGUAAUGAUGGCCAGGCUGUCUCCACCCGAGACUCAGUGAAAUUGAACUCGCUGUGAAGAUGCAGUGUACCCGCGGCAAGACGGAAAGACCCCGUGAACCUUUACUAUAGCUUGACACUGAACAUUGAGCCUUGAUGUGUAGGAUAGGUGGGAGGCUUUGAAGUGUGGACGCCAGUCUGCAUGGAGCCGACCUUGAAAUACCACCCUUUAAUGUUUGAUGUUCUAACGUGGACCCGUUACCCGGGUUGCGGACAGUGUCUGGUGGGUAGUUUGACUGGGGCGGUCUCCUCCUAAAGAGUAACGGAGGAGCACGAAGGUUGGCUAAUCCUGGUCGGACAUCAGGAGGUUAGUGCAAUGGCAUAAGCCAGCUUGACUGCGAGCGUGACGGCGCGAGCAGGUGCGAAAGCAGGUCAUAGUGAUCCGGUGGUUCUGAAUGGAAGGGCCAUCGCUCAACGGAUAAAAGGUACUCCGGGGAUAACAGGCUGAUACCGCCCAAGAGUUCAUAUCGACGGCGGUGUUUGGCACCUCGAUGUCGGCUCAUCACAUCCUGGGGCUGAAGUAGGUCCCAAGGGUAUGGCUGUUCGCCAUUUAAAGUGGUACGCGAGCUGGGUUUAGAACGUCGUGAGACAGUUCGGUCCCUAUCUGCCGUGGGCGCUGGAGAACUGAGGGGGGCUGCUCCUAGUACGAGAGGACCGGAGUGGACGCAUCACUGGUGUUCGGGUUGUCAUGCCAAUGGCACUGCCCGGUAGCUAAAUGCGGAAGAGAUAAGUGCUGAAAGCAUCUAAGCACGAAACUUGCCCCGAGAUGAGUUCUCCCUGAGACUUAGAGUCUCCUGAAGGAACGUUGAAGACGACGACGUUGAUAGGCCGGGUGUGUAAGCGCAGCGAUGCGUUGAGCUAACCGGUACUAAUGAACCGUGAGGCUUAACCUU
RNAcentral lists this ribosomal RNA (2990 nucleotides) under Salmonella enterica subsp. enterica serovar Heidelberg. RNAcentral describes it as "23S ribosomal RNA". It matches the Rfam family "Bacterial large subunit ribosomal RNA". Lineage: Bacteria; Pseudomonadati; Pseudomonadota; Gammaproteobacteria; Enterobacterales; Enterobacteriaceae. The record is from RNAcentral.